GUCUCUGUGGUGACGAGCAGGGCUUCAUCCAGUGCCUCUGUCCCCACCGAGGGGACUAUGGGAGACAUGGAGGGUGUGUGAGCAACAGGUGAGACUGGAGCCAGCUGAAAACUGGGAGACCGACCCAGCCAACAAACAAUGUCGGUCUCUGUCUUGGCACCUGCAGGAAACAAGCUCCUACUUCCAGAAAAAGUGCUCCUGGGACUCCAGGAUACCAGGCAUCUGGGUAAGCUACAAUGCUUAACCACUUAACACAAUCAGGAAGCAACAGCCAUGCAUUCGGGAAAGGAACUUCAGUGUUGUGUGGCUCAGUCUCCAGACCUAACUUUCCCUUUGGUACAGACGCGGUGGUACAUGCCUGUAAUCCCAACACUUAGGCAGGAGGAUCACUCGAGCCCAGAAGAUCAAGACUAGUGUGAGCAACAAAAUGGGCUUGGUGGUGGGCACCUGUAAUCUCAGCUACUUGGAAGGCUGAGGCAGGAGAAUUGCUUGAACCCGGGAGGCGGAGGUCACAGUGAGCCGAGAUCGCACCAUUGCACUCCAGCGUGGGCUACAGAACAAGACUCUGUCUCAAAAGGAAAAAAAAAAGAAUUCAGAAUUCACCUGUCGCCUGCUGCUGCAGUGAACAGUGAGUGGCAC
This 639-nucleotide long non-coding RNA is filed under the name Homo sapiens (human). RNAcentral's name for it is "non-protein coding BISPR:36". Lineage: Eukaryota; Metazoa; Chordata; Mammalia; Primates; Hominidae. The record is from RNAcentral.